UACGAAGGGGGCUAGCGUUGUUCGGAAUUACUGGGCGUAAAGCGCAUGUAGGCGGCGAUUUAAGUCGGGGGUGAAAUCCCAGGGCUCAACCCUGGAACUGCCUUCGAUACUAUUUUGCUAGAGUGUGGAAGAGGUAAGUGGAACUGCAAGUGUAGAGGUGAAAUUCGUAGAUAUUCGGAAGAACACCAGUGGCGAAGGCGACUUACUGGACACAUAUUGACGCUGAGGUGCGAAAGCGUGGGGAGCAAACAGG
RNAcentral lists this ribosomal RNA (253 nucleotides) under uncultured bacterium. Its description in RNAcentral is "partial 16S ribosomal RNA". It matches the Rfam family "Bacterial small subunit ribosomal RNA", at positions 524 to 776 of the family's 1533-position model. The record is from RNAcentral.